GAUGAACGCUCGCGAUAGGCUUAACACAUGCAAGUCGAGGGGCAGCACAAGGUAGCUUGCUAUCUGGGUGGCGACCGGCGCACGGGUGCGUAACGCGUAUGCAACUUGCCCUAUACAGGAGGAUAACCCGUCGAAAGACGGACUAAUACUGCGUAUGCUCACAACUUGGCAUCAAGUGGUGAGGAAAGAAAUUCGGUAUAGGAUAGGCAUGCGUCCCAUUAGCUUGUUGGUGAGGUAACGGCUCACCAAGGCAACGAUGGGUAGGGGAACUGAGAGGUUUAUCCCCCACACUGGUACUGCGACACGGACCAGACUCCUACGGGAGGCAGCAGUGAGGAAUAGUGGUCAAUGGGCGCGAGCCUGAACCAGCCAAGUCGCGUGAAGGAUGACUGUCUUAUGGAUUGUAAACUUCUUUUAUACGGGAAUAACAAGAGUCACGGGUGACUCCCUGCAUGUACCGGAUGAAUAAGCAUCGGCUAACUCCGUG
This 487-nucleotide ribosomal RNA is filed under the name uncultured bacterium. RNAcentral's name for it is "partial 16S ribosomal RNA". It matches the Rfam family "Bacterial small subunit ribosomal RNA", at positions 28 to 507 of the family's 1533-position model. The record is from RNAcentral.